Molecule: long non-coding RNA, 1163 nt
Organism: Hipposideros armiger (great roundleaf bat)
Lineage: Eukaryota; Metazoa; Chordata; Mammalia; Chiroptera; Hipposideridae
Exons: 2
Source: RefSeq, a predicted model, not a curated record
AUAAGGCACAUUCUGAGGUCCAGGGGGUUAGGACUCCAACAGAUGAAGUUUGGAAAACACAAUUCAACCCAAAACAGACAUCCUUGCUCUUAUUUUAUAGUUCAUAUGAGUUUUCUUUGAAUUACCUCUGGGAGAGGAGCACCGUGAUGGUACCUGUCUUAAGGGCCUCUAAAGAGCUUCCCUGUCCCCGUGGACCCACCAAGCAAAGAAGGGUGGGGAAUACAACAGACAAGGAGGUUCUGCCGUGAGGGGGGAUGAGGCUCAGACCCUAGAGCCAAGAGAGCAUUAUGGGACGAUGCUCCCUGACCUUGAAUCCCUCCAUCCAACCAGAGGGGCUGCUUCAGGCACAGUAGUGUGGGCGUCCCUGGGGAGAUGCAGGAGUCAUUCAGCAGAACCUGCAGAUCACCCUGAAGGGCUGUGUGCUUCCACACUGUAUCUUUUCUGGAUCCGGAGAACCUCCUCAUCGAGCUGAGAGCCAAGGCAGCCAGCCCCUGCCGGUGUGAAUUCUGUGUGUUAUCCACAACACAGUCUGAGAAACCAGGUGCAGGAACACCCUUCCUAGCAGUGCACCUUGUUUACAUGGAUUGUAAGUGAGAACCUGGAUAAUGCAGGAAUAACUUCUAGAAAUCCUUCUGAGGACCACCCUACAAUUCAUGGGACAUCAUGGACAUCCUGGUUAAUGAGUGUUAUCCAUUCGAAGAAUCAAAGUUUAGUCACCACAUAAGAAAACUGGAAAUGCCCCCAACUCUUACAGCUCAUAUUCAAAAGAAUGCUUAAUAGGGUUUUCCUCAAAUUUGACAAUAAUCCUGCAAAUUUGUAUGACAUUACUGAUAACUAGUUUUGAAGGUAAGAGGAACGUCUAAAAAUAUGAACUGUACGAAAGUAUCAACCAUAUUAAAGAAAAGACUGAGUUAUCUUUUCAAUUAACUUUCAAAGAGUGAAUUAGCUUUAAAUCUUAUAAAAAUUCUCUUUCAAAAUUGUCACAGAAGAGAUGAUCAGAGAUUAUGCAAUACAUUCACGCAUUUGCUACCUGCAGUUUGCCAAGCAGCUAAUUAGUAAAAAUGUCAUUUUUAUGAAUUUUGUGAUGUUUGUGGUGUUUGCCAUCUCUUUAAGAUUUGCUGCAAUUUUCUGAUUCUAAAAUAAACAUUCCCUUUCAUACCUAA